This is an RNA transcript of Mastomys coucha (southern multimammate mouse), 720 nucleotides long. It is a transcript of the gene named riboflavin kinase pseudogene, with no coding region annotated. Lineage: Eukaryota; Metazoa; Chordata; Mammalia; Rodentia; Muridae. The record is from RefSeq and is a predicted model, not a curated record. The transcript has a single exon.
AUGAGGAGCCUCCUGUUCUUCUGCUGCGGCCAGGUGGUGUGAGGCUUCAGCCGCGGCUCCAAGCAACUGGGCAUCCCCACAGCCAAUUUUCCUGAACAAGUAGUAGACAAUCUUCCAGCUGAUGUGUCCACUGGCAUUUAUUAUGAUUGGGCCAGCGUUGGGAACGGAGAUGUCCAUAAAAUGGUGGUGAGCAUAGGAUGGAAUCCAUACUACAAGAACGUGAAAAAGUCCAUGGAAACCCGCAUCAUCCAUACCUUCAAGGAGGACUUCUAUGGGGAAAUUCUCAAUGUGGCCAUCGUUGGCUACCUCAGACCUGAAAAGAACUUUGAUUCUUUAGAGUCACUUAUUUCUGCGAUUCAAGGUGAUAUUGAAGAAGCUAAAAAUCAACUGGAUUUACCCGAACAUUUGAAACUCAAAGAUGACAAUUUCUUCCAAGUUUCUAAAGGCAAAAUUAUGAAUGGCCACUGAUGCAAAGUCCCUUACCUGUCCACCCACUACUUGUCUCAGUGCUUCUGAUACAGUCUCAUCUUGAUCAUAUUUUAAAUCAAGCAUUUCCCUGUAGCUCUCAAGAGGUCUCCAGCAGUUCACUCCAUCAUGUUGCAUGGCACUAAGAAAUUCAUUCAACAAUCAAGACUUUAGUGUAAUAUGUUGAUUAAAAUGUAGCACUAGAAAGCUAGUGUCUUGUACUGAAAGUAAAGCCUGUGAGUGUGUGUGGAAAAG